CGGCGGACGGGUGAGUAACACGUGGAUAACCUACCUAUAAGACUGGGAUAACUUCGGGAAACCGGAGCUAAUACCGGAUAAUAUAUUGAACCGCAUGGUUCAAUGGUGAAAGACGGUUUUGCUGUCACUUAUAGAUGGAUCCGCGCCGCAUUAGCUAGUUGGUAAGGUAACGGCUUACCAAGGCAACGAUGCGUAGCCGACCUGAGAGGGUGAUCGGCCACACUGGAACUGAGACACGGUCCAGACUCCUACGGGAGGCAGCAGUG
Molecule: ribosomal RNA, 266 nt
Filed under: uncultured Staphylococcus sp.
Lineage: Bacteria; Bacillati; Bacillota; Bacilli; Caryophanales; Staphylococcaceae
Description: partial 16S ribosomal RNA
Rfam family: Bacterial small subunit ribosomal RNA
Source: RNAcentral